GGGACACGUGGUAUCCUGUCUGAAUAUGGGGGGACCAUCCUCCAAGGCUAAAUACUCCUGACUGACCGAUAGUGAACCAGUACCGUGAGGGAAAGGCGAAAAGAACCCCGGCGAGGGGAGUGAAAAAGAACCUGAAACCGUGUACGUACAAGCAGUGGGAGCCUCUUAAUGGGGUGACUGCGUACCUUUUGUAUAAUGGGUCAGCGACUUAUAUUCUGUAGCAAGGUUAACCGAAUAGGGGAGCCGAAGGGAAACCGAGUCUUAACUGGGCGUUAAGUUGCAGGGUAUAGACCCGAAACCCGGUGAUCUAGCCAUGGGCAGGUUGAAGGUUGGGUAACACUAACUGGAGGACCGAACCGACUAAUGUUGAAAAAUUAGCGGAUGACUUGUGGCUGGGGGUGAAAGGCCAAUCAAACCGGGAGAUAGCUGGUUCUCCCCGAAAGCUAUUUAGGUAGCGCCUCGUGAAUUCAUCUCCGGGGGUAGAGCACUGUUUCGGCAAGGGGGUCAUCCCGACUUACCAACCCGAUGCAAACUGCGAAUACCGGAGAAUGUUAUCACGGGAGACACACGGCGGGUGCUAACGUCCGUCGUGAAGAGGGAAACAACCCAGACCGCCAGCUAAGGUCCCAAAGUCAUGGUUAAGUGGGAAACGAUGUGGGAAGGCCCAGACAGCCAGGAUGUUGGCUUAGAAGCAGCCAUCAUUUAAAGAAAGCGUAAUAGCUCACUGGUCGAGUCGGCCUGCGCGGAAGAUGUAACGGGGCUAAACCAUGCACCGAAGCUGCGGCAGCGACACUAUGUGUUGUUGGGUAGGGGAGCGUUCUGUAAGCCUGUGAAGGUGGCCUGUGAGGGUUGCUGGAGGUAUCAGAAGUGCGAAUGCUGACAUAAGUAACGAUAAAGCGGGUGAAAAGCCCGCUCGCCGGAAGACCAAGGGUUCCUGUCCAACGUUAAUCGGGGCAGGGUGAGUCGACCCCUAAGGCGAGGCCGAAAGGCGUAGUCGAUGGGAAACAGGUUAAUAUUCCUGUACUUGGUGUUACUGCGAAGGGGGGACGGAGAAGGCUAUGUUGGCCGGGCGACGGUUGUCCCGGUUUAAGCGUGUAGGCUGGUUUUCCAGGCAAAUCCGGAAAACCAAGGCUGAGGCGUGAUGACGAGGCACUACGGUGCUGAAGCAACAAAUGCCCUGCUUCCAGGAAAAGCCUCUAAGCAUCAGGUAACAUCAAAUCGUACCCCAAACCGACACAGGUGGUCAGGUAGAGAAUACCAAGGCGCUUGAGAGAACUCGGGUGAAGGAACUAGGCAAAAUGGUGCCGUAACUUCGGGAGAAGGCACGCUGAUAUGUAGGUGAAGUCCCUCGCGGAUGGAGCUGAAAUCAGUCGAAGAUACCAGCUGGCUGCAACUGUUUAUUAAAAACACAGCACUGUGCAAACACGAAAGUGGACGUAUACGGUGUGACGCCUGCCCGGUGCCGGAAGGUUAAUUGAUGGGGUUAGCGGUAACGCGAAGCUCUUGAUCGAAGCCCCGGUAAACGGCGGCCGUAACUAUAACGGUCCUAAGGUAGCGAAAUUCCUUGUCGGGUAAGUUCCGACCUGCACGAAUGGCGUAAUGAUGGCCAGGCUGUCUCCACCCGAGACUCAGUGAAAUUGAACUCGCUGUGAAGAUGCAGUGUACCCGCGGCAAGACGGAAAGACCCCGUGAACCUUUACUAUAGCUUGACACUGAACAUUGAGCCUUGAUGUGUAGGAUAGGUGGGAGGCUUUGAAGUGUGGACGCCAGUCUGCAUGGAGCCGACCUUGAAAUACCACCCUUUAAUGUUUGAUGUUCUAACGUUGGCCCGUAAUCCGGGUUGCGGACAGUGUCUGGUGGGUAGUUUGACUGGGGCGGUCUCCUCCUAAAGAGUAACGGAGGAGCACGAAGGUUGGCUAAUCCUGGUCGGACAUCAGGAGGUUAGUGCAAUGGCAUAAGCCAGCUUGACUGCGAGCGUGACGGCGCGAGCAGGUGCGAAAGCAGGUCAUAGUGAUCCGGUGGUUCUGAAUGGAAGGGCCAUCGCUCAACGGAUAAAAGGUACUCCGGGGAUAACAGGCUGAUACCGCCCAAGAGUUCAUAUCGACGGCGGUGUUUGGCACCUCGAUGUCGGCUCAUCACAUCCUGGGGCUGAAGUAGGUCCCAAGGGUAUGGCUGUUCGCCAUUUAAAGUGGUACGCGAGCUGGGUUUAGAACGUCGUGAGACAGUUCGGUCCCUAUCUGCCGUGGGCGCUGGAGAACUGAGGGGGGCUGCUCCUAGUACGAGAGGACCGGAGUGGACGCAUCACUGGUGUUCGGGUUGUCAUGCCAAUGGCACUGCCCGGUAGCUAAAUGCGGAAGAGAUAAGUGCUGAAAGCAUCUAAGCACGAAACUUGCCCCGAGAUGAGUUCUCCCUGAGACUUAGAGUCUCCUGAAGGAACGUUGAAGACGACGACGUUGAUAGGCCGGGUGUGUAAGCGCAGCGAUGCGUUGAGCUAACCGGUACUAAUGAACCGUGAGGCUUAACCUUACAACGCCGAAG
RNAcentral lists this ribosomal RNA (2538 nucleotides) under Escherichia coli. RNAcentral's name for it is "partial 23S ribosomal RNA". It matches the Rfam family "Bacterial large subunit ribosomal RNA", at positions 419 to 2925 of the family's 2925-position model. Lineage: Bacteria; Pseudomonadati; Pseudomonadota; Gammaproteobacteria; Enterobacterales; Enterobacteriaceae. The record is from RNAcentral.